Molecule: ribosomal RNA, 703 nt
Filed under: uncultured bacterium
Lineage: Bacteria
Description: bacterial SSU rRNA
Rfam family: Bacterial small subunit ribosomal RNA
Source: RNAcentral
ACACGUAUGGAACCUGCCCUAUGCAGGGGGAUAAGCGGAAGAAAUUCCGUCUAAUACCGCAUAACACCAUUUGGAGACAUCUCCAGGUGGUCAAAGGAGGCGACUCCGGCAUAGGAUGGCCAUGCGUCGCAUUAGCUAGUCGGCGGGGUAACGGCCCACCGAGGCGACGAUGCGUAGGGGUUCUGAGAGGAAGGUCCCCCACACUGGUACUGAGACACGGACCAGACUCCUACGGGAGGCAGCAGUGAGGAAUAUUGGUCAAUGGGCGCAAGCCUGAACCAGCCAAGUCGCGUGAGGGAAGACGGUCCUAUGGAUUGUAAACCUCUUUUGUCGGGGAGCAAAGCGCGGUACGAGUACCGCGAAGGAGAGUACCCGAAGAAAAAGCAUCGGCUAACUCCGUGCCAGCAGCCGCGGUAAUACGGAGGAUGCGAGCGUUAUCCGGAUUUAUUGGGUUUAAAGGGUGCGUAGGCGGAUUUGUAAGUCAGCGGUAAAAAUGCGGUGCUCAACGCCGUAUCGCCGUUGAAACUGCAGGUCUUGAGUGAGCGAGAAGUAUGCGGAAUGCGUGGUGUAGCGGUGAAAUGCAUAGAUAUCACGCAGAACUCCGAUUGUGAAGGCAGCAUACCGGCGCUCAACUGACGCUGAGGCACGAAAGCGUGGGGAUCGAACAGGAUUAGAUACCCUGGUAGUCCACGCAGUAAACGAU